Molecule: long non-coding RNA, 539 nt
Filed under: Androctonus crassicauda
Lineage: Eukaryota; Metazoa; Arthropoda; Arachnida; Scorpiones; Buthidae
Source: RNAcentral
UAUUUUAUGGAUAAUUGAAUAUAUAGGUAUCAGUUAUUUUUGAGUCACUGAAAUGUUUAAUUUAUGUAUUUGCAUAAAGAUAAACCCAACAUAGGAACUAGUCAGACCAAUGUUAUUGAUUAAUAGCAUUAAAAAAAGCAUUCCAGAGGUUUCAAGACUAAUAAAAUAACUCAAAUAUUAGUAAUUUUGAUCUAUUGUUUCUGAAGUUCCUUGGCGCUGAGUCUGUUAAAUCAAAGUUUUACUGUAUUUGUGUAUAAGAUUUAAUAUAAAAUGAGAUGUAUAUAUAUUCUAGGUAUCGACCUGUUCCAAAUGAUGAAUCAGAAUCUGGGCAGAACAGAACUGGUGCAUUUUCUCGUACCCAAACUCCUAAUUCUGGUUAUUCUAGUCGUCGAAACAAAGGAUCAAGUGGUGGAAGAACUUCGCCAAAGAAAAAGGGGGAUGAAUUAUGGAAUGGUAAAAAAAACAUAUUAAAAAUGUUGUUAAUUAGCUGCUAAUCAGUUGUAAUUUUGUUUUACAGAAGGAAUAGUACCAGAAGUUGU